This 690-nucleotide ribosomal RNA is filed under the name Bacillus pumilus. RNAcentral describes it as "bacterial SSU rRNA". It matches the Rfam family "Bacterial small subunit ribosomal RNA", at positions 91 to 767 of the family's 1533-position model. Lineage: Bacteria; Bacillati; Bacillota; Bacilli; Caryophanales; Bacillaceae. The record is from RNAcentral.
GUUAGCGGCGGACGGGUGAGUAACACGUGGGUAACCUGCCUGUAAGACUGGGAUAACUCCGGGAAACCGGAGCUAAUACCGGAUAGUUCCUUGAACCGCAUGGUUCAAGGAUGAAAGACGGUUUCGGCUGUCACUUACAGAUGGACCCGCGGCGCAUUAGCUAGUUGGUGAGGUAACGGCUCACCAAGGCGACGAUGCGUAGCCGACCUGAGAGGGUGAUCGGCCACACUGGGACUGAGACACGGCCCAGACUCCUACGGGAGGCAGCAGUAGGGAAUCUUCCGCAAUGGACGAAAGUCUGACGGAGCAACGCCGCGUGAGUGAUGAAGGUUUUCGGAUCGUAAAGCUCUGUUGUUAGGGAAGAACAAGUGCAAGAGUAACUGCUUGCACCUUGACGGUACCUAACCAGAAAGCCACGGCUAACUACGUGCCAGCAGCCGCGGUAAUACGUAGGUGGCAAGCGUUGUCCGGAAUUAUUGGGCGUAAAGGGCUCGCAGGCGGUUUCUUAAGUCUGAUGUGAAAGCCCCCGGCUCAACCGGGGAGGGUCAUUGGAAACUGGGAAACUUGAGUGCAGAAGAGGAGAGUGGAAUUCCACGUGUAGCGGUGAAAUGCGUAGAGAUGUGGAGGAACACCAGUGGCGAAGGCGACUCUCUGGUCUGUAACUGACGCUGAGGAGCGAAAGCGUGGGGA